UAAGGAAUAUUGGUCAAUGGACGAAAGUCUGAACCAGCCAUGCCGCGUGGAGGAUGAAGGUCCUCUGGAUUGUAAACUUCUUUUAUCUGGGACGAAAAAGGUCUUUCUAGAUCGUCUGACGGUACCAGAUGAAUAAGCACCGGCUAACUCCGUGCCAGCAGCCGCGGUAAUACGGAGGGUGCAAGCGUUAUCCGGAUUCACUGGGUUUAAAGGGUGCGUAGGUGGGUUGGUAAGUCAGUGGUGAAAUCUUCGAGCUUAACUCGGAAACUGCCAUUGAUACUAUCAGUCUUGAAUAUUGUGGAGGUUAGCGGAAUAUGUCAUGUAGCGGUGAAAUGCUUAGAUAUGACAUAGAACACCAAUUGCGAAGGCAGCUGGCUACACAUAUAUUGACACUGAGGCACGAAAGCGUGGGGAUCAAACAGGAUUAGAUACCCUGGUAGUCCACGCCCUAAACUAUGGAUACUCGACAUACGCGAUACACUGUGUGUGUCUGAGCG
Molecule: ribosomal RNA, 497 nt
Filed under: uncultured bacterium
Lineage: Bacteria
Description: partial 16S ribosomal RNA
Rfam family: Bacterial small subunit ribosomal RNA
Source: RNAcentral